GGGAGCCGCUGCCGUCUUUGAAUACCCUGGGAACUGAGUGAGGUCCCAGCCUGGAGGUGCUACGCAGACAGUCCUGCUGCUCUAGCAGCAAGGCAGUAACAUCACAAAAGCAAAACUACAUGGGAAAACUCAGCACUGGUGGUGGUGGCAGUGGACAGAUCAAGGCACUUCAACUCAUUUGGAAAAUGAGCCUUGGCCCCGGAGCCGCAGGGUGCAGGACUUCUCACCAAGCACACCUUCCACCACCAUCGUGGACUCGUACAGCUCACUACUCCUGUGGGGAGCAUGUGGGGGCUGAGGCCUCUGUAUUUCUUGAGACACAACAAUAUUGAAAUUAGACCAAUAACCCUACAAUAGCCUCUAAGUCUUCAAGUGAAAAGAAGAGUCGUACGUAUCUCACUUUAAAUCAAAAUGAUUAAGCUACAAAUGAUUAAGCUUAGUGAGGAAGGCACAUUCAAAGCUGACAGAGGCAGAAAGCUAGCUUUGUGCCAAACAGACAAAUGGUGAAUGCAAAGAAAUGUAAUAUCUAGCAAAUGCCCUAUUUGUGAAAAUUUUGAAGUAAAAGAUAAUAAAGCAAAUAAAAUGUUAUGUAAACAAGGAAAAGAAAAUAGGAGAAAGAAAGAAUGUGAUCAGGUUAACUGAUAAAACAGAGGAGAACAAAACUGCUGCUUGAAAUCCCUGCACAGGUUACGUGCAAUGCAAUACUUAACAAUGGAAUGAGGGCAUCAAAGGGCGGGGGAGCUCAGCAAAGCACUGCGGAAGAUCGACUGGCUUAGCCAGGUCAGGGCUCCAGCCCCAGAGCUCAGAGCAACACAUGGAAGAGUGGGCUGCCCCAGGCACAGAAGUCAAAUAUCACAUGAUCUCACUCAAGUGGGUGGUAAAAAUGUGUACAUAUGGACAUAGAGAUUGGAAUGAUAGACAACGGAGACUCGGAAGGAUGAGGGCGUAGGAGGGAAAUG
This 959-nucleotide small RNA is filed under the name Pongo abelii (Sumatran orangutan). RNAcentral describes it as "processed transcript". Lineage: Eukaryota; Metazoa; Chordata; Mammalia; Primates; Hominidae. The record is from RNAcentral.